This 503-nucleotide ribosomal RNA is filed under the name uncultured bacterium. Its description in RNAcentral is "partial 16S ribosomal RNA". It matches the Rfam family "Bacterial small subunit ribosomal RNA", at positions 30 to 523 of the family's 1533-position model. The record is from RNAcentral.
AUUGAACGCUGGCGGCAAGCUUAACACAUGCAAGUCGAGCGGGGUGAUGGUGCUUGCACUAUCACUUAGCGGCGGACGGGUGAGUAAUGCUUAGGAAUCUGCCUAUUAGUGGGGGACAACAUCUCGAAAGGGAUGCUAAUACCGCAUGCGUCCUACGGGAGAAAGCAGGGGCCCACUUGUGACCUUGCGCUAAUAGAUGCGCCUAAGUCGGAUUAGCUAGUUGGUGGGGUAAAGGCCUACCAAGGCGACGAUCUGUAGCGGGUCUGAGAGGAUGAUCCGCCACACUGGGACUGAGACACGGCCCAGACUCCUACGGGAGGCAGCAGUGGGGAAUAUUGGACAAUGGGGGGAACCCUGAUCCAGCCAUGCCGCGUGUGUGAAGAAGGCCUUAUGGUUGUAAAGCACUUUAAGCGAGGAGGAGGCUCUUUUGGUUAAUACCCAAGAUGAGUGGACGUUACUCGCAGGAUAAGCACCGGCUAACUCUGUGCCAGCAGCCGCGGUAA